Molecule: ribosomal RNA, 444 nt
Filed under: uncultured bacterium
Lineage: Bacteria
Description: bacterial SSU rRNA
Rfam family: Bacterial small subunit ribosomal RNA
Source: RNAcentral
UAAGGAAUAUUGGUCAAUGGACGCAAGUCUGAACCAGCCAUGCCGCGUGGAGGAUGAAGGCCCUCUGGGUUGUAAACUUCUUUUAUUUGGGAAGAAAUCUGAAUUUUCCAAUUCAGUUGACGGUACCAAGUGAAUAAGCACCGGCUAACUCCGUGCCAGCAGCCGCGGUAAUACGGAGGGUGCAAGCGUUAUCCGGAUUCACUGGGUUUAAAGGGUGCGUAGGUGGGCAGGUAAGUCAGUGGUGAAAUCUUUGGGCUUAACCCGAAAACUGCCAUUGAUACUAUCUGUCUUGAAUGUUGUGGAGGUGAGCGGAAUAUGUCAUGUAGCGGUGAAAUGCUUAGAUAUGACAUAGAACAUCGAUUGCGAAGGCAGCUCGCUACGCAAAUAUUGACACUGAGGCACGAAAGCGUGGGGAUCAAACAGGAUUAGAUACCCCUGUAGUCC